Molecule: non-coding RNA, 115 nt
Organism: Acanthosepion pharaonis
Lineage: Eukaryota; Metazoa; Mollusca; Cephalopoda; Sepiida; Sepiidae
Source: the annotation of a GenBank genome assembly
CUUGCGGCCACAUCACAUAGUAACAGCGGUUUUCGUACGCUCACCGAAGUUAAGUAACGUCGAGUCUGGUUAGUACCUAGAUGGGUGACCGCUUAGGAAUAACAGAUCCUGCAAG